This 216-nucleotide ribosomal RNA is filed under the name uncultured fungus. RNAcentral describes it as "partial small subunit ribosomal RNA". The stretch from base 92 to 216 matches the Rfam family "Eukaryotic small subunit ribosomal RNA", at positions 738 to 864 of the family's 1831-position model. Lineage: Eukaryota; Fungi. The record is from RNAcentral.
GGCCUGGAUGGGUGGUCCGCUUCACAGCGUGUACUGUCUGGCUGGGUCUUACCUCUUGGUGAGCCGGCGUGCCCUUUAUUGGUGUGCGUCGGGGAACCAGGACUUUUACCUUGAGAAAAUUAGAGUGUUCAAAGCAGGCUAUUGCCUGAAUACAUUAGCAUGGAAUAAUAAAAUAGGACGUGUGGUUCUAUUUUGUUGGUUUCUAGAAUCGCCGUA